UACCUAGGGACCAAGCGUUGUUCGGAUUUACUGGGCGUAAAGGGCGCGUAGGCGGCAUGACAAGUCACUUGUGGAAUCUCCGGGCUUAACUCGGAACGGCCAAGUGAUACUGUCACGCUAGAGUGCAGAAGGGGCAAUCGGAAUUCUUGGUGUAGCGGUGAAAUGCGUAGAUAUCAAGAGGAACACCUGAGGUGAAGACGGGUUGCUGGGCUGACACUGACGCUGAGGCGCGAAAGCCAGGGGAGCAAACGGG
This 253-nucleotide ribosomal RNA is filed under the name uncultured bacterium. Its description in RNAcentral is "partial 16S ribosomal RNA". It matches the Rfam family "Bacterial small subunit ribosomal RNA", at positions 524 to 776 of the family's 1533-position model. The record is from RNAcentral.